This 1041-nucleotide ribosomal RNA is filed under the name Triticum aestivum (bread wheat). RNAcentral's name for it is "partial small subunit ribosomal RNA". The record is from RNAcentral. Lineage: Eukaryota; Viridiplantae; Streptophyta; Magnoliopsida; Poales; Poaceae.
AUGAGCGGUGACAGCGACUACCCGGCGAUGAGGCGCGUCCGAUCGCCGAGGCGCCACCGCCGUCGGUGGCGGAGCGAUCUCAGCGAAGACGAGGAAGAACCACAUCGUCGCCGUAGCAGCGGACGUAGCAGCAGCAGUAGCGAUAGUAGCAGCAGCAGCAACAGCCGCCGGCGUUCGCGAAGAAGCUACCGGAGCAGAAGCAGGAGCCCGAGUCCGAGACGCAGCCGUAGCAGAAGCCGAAGCAGGAGCCGGAGCCGGAGCCAUGGUGCCGCAGCUGACAACGAGUUCACCGUGCGGAUCGACAACUACGACGAGCUCUUCAACUGCGCCUUGUGCCACGGCCUUCUCUCCUCUCCCGUCUACGAGUGCGGCGACGGGCACCUGACCUGCCACCGUUGUUACGAUCUGGCCCUCAUGCCGUGCAUCCGCUGCGGCUCCAAGGACUACACCCGCAGCCGCGCCGUCGCCACGAUGGUCCGGUCCGUCCGCUUCGCGUGCCGCAACCGCGAGCACGGCUGCGCUGCGUCCCUGCCGCGGCUCGGCGUGGAGGACCACGAGCGCUCCUGCCGGUACGACCCCUGCUUCUGCCCCGUCUGCAAACGCGCCUUCGUCCCCGGCGCCGACCCCGACGCGCUCCAGGAGCACCUCACCGGACGCCACGCGUGGCACCUCCACUACCUCACCUACGGCGAGGAGGUCUUGGUGGACGUGGACCCGCACCGUCACGCCCUCCUCCGCGCUGACGACGGCGAGCUGUUCCACCUGGACCUCAGCCGCGUGCGGAGAACGCACGCUGACGAGGACGGCACGUCGAUCUCGGUGAUCCGCAUGCGGCCCGACAACGCGGUGGGGGCAGAGGCGGAGUUCUCGUACGAGGUGAAGCCACCGGGCGCGGUGUGGCGGAUGAAGGCGCCCGUGUGGAGCUCCUCGCUGCGCCGAGGGAUGGAGGAUGGGAAUAGGAUCUUUGUCACCGUGCCGGAGGCCGGGCGGCACUGGCACCUCGUCAACGUGUGCAUCUGGAGGCUGCCCGCACGGAGCUAA